UAAUACGGAGGGUGCGAGCGUUAAUCGGAAUUACUGGGCGUAAAGCGUGCGUAGGUGGUGACGUAAGUCGGGUGUGAAAUCCCCAGGCUUAACCUGGGAAUGCCAUUCGAUACUGUGUCGCUAGAGUAUGGGAGAGGGAAGUGGAAUUUCCGGUGUAGCGGUGAAAUGCGUAGAUAUCGGAAGGAACACCAAUGGCGUAAGCAGCUUCCUGGACCAAUACUGACACUGAGGCACGAAAGCGUGGGGAGCAAACAGGAUUAGAUACCCUGGUAGUCCACGCCAUAAACGAUGAGAACUAGAUGUCGGGAGGGUUAAACUUCUCGGUAUCGUAGCUAACGCGUUAAGUUCUCCGCCUGGGGAGUACGGCCGCAAGGUUG
Molecule: ribosomal RNA, 377 nt
Filed under: uncultured bacterium
Lineage: Bacteria
Description: bacterial SSU rRNA
Rfam family: Bacterial small subunit ribosomal RNA
Source: RNAcentral